UGCGUGUCGAUUUGGGGGACAGUUUAAUAAACUGCCACACAACACAGCUGAGCUUCACACAGCCAUGAGGAUGGGGACAGCCAUUCCUUGGGUUUCUGAAUAACGUAUCAAGUGAGCAGUGAAUUUCAAUCAAGCUUGUACAUCAGGACCGUCUUGCCAAAACAACAGUUGCUUUUGGCUGCUGGAAGCUGUAGCUUUUCAAAACGUUCACACUUUUCAAUGUAUCGUCGAUGUUUUUAAAUAGACUUACAGGGAGGGUGGCACACAGCAAAGGCCCGCAGGGACAAAGGAGGAGACGUAGCCACCAGCUUCCAGGCCAUCCAGGGCCCCGGGUCGCCUUGGGAUCCGGACCCGGUACAGGCCAUUCAGGGCU
This 373-nucleotide non-coding RNA is filed under the name Pan troglodytes (chimpanzee). The record is from RNAcentral. Lineage: Eukaryota; Metazoa; Chordata; Mammalia; Primates; Hominidae.